GACGAACGCUGGCGGCGUGCCUAAUACAUGCAAGUAGAACGCUGAAGAGAGGAGCUUGCUCUUCUUGGGUGAGUUGCGAACGGGUGAGUAACGCGUAGGUAACCUGCCUUGUAGCGGGGGAUAACUAUUGGAAACGAUAGCUAAUACCGCAUAACAAUGGAUGACACAUGUCAUUUAUUUGAAAGGGGCAAUUGCUCCACUACAAGAUGGACCUGCGUUGUAUUAGCUAGUAGGUGAGGUAAUGGCUCACCUAGGCGACGAUACAUAGCCGACCUGAGAGGGUGAUCGGCCACACUGGGACUGAGACACGGCCCAGACUCCUACGGGAGGCAGCAGUAGGGAAUCUUCGGCAAUGGGGGCAACCCUGACCGAGCAACGCCGCGUGAGUGAAGAAGGUUUUCGGAUCGUAAAGCUCUGUUGUAAGUCAAGAACGGGUGUGAGAGUGGAAAGUUCACACUGUGACGGUAGCUUACCAGAAAGGGACGGCUAACUACGUG
Molecule: ribosomal RNA, 497 nt
Filed under: uncultured bacterium
Lineage: Bacteria
Description: partial 16S ribosomal RNA
Rfam family: Bacterial small subunit ribosomal RNA
Source: RNAcentral